GUAGAUCUGUAUCGAAAGUUACAACUGUUCAGCAGGUUUACUGUACCGGAGUAGAUCUGUAUUGAAAGUUACAACUGUUCAGCAGGUUUACUGUACCGGAGUAGAUCUGUAUUGAAAGUUACGACUGUUCAGCAGGUUUACGUAGAAUAUUUAUUGAAACAAAGUAGCACAUCGAUCCAAUUUAAAAAAGAAACAAACAAAAUAACAGCUAUAAGAAAUAUGUUUUGCAAAUCUCAAUGAAUUGCGAAGAGAAUAAAUAUACAGUUUGGAUUGAUAACAUAUAGGAACAAUGUUCUAAU
This is a long non-coding RNA of Oncorhynchus tshawytscha (Chinook salmon), 299 nucleotides long. RefSeq lists it as uncharacterized. The transcript has 2 exons. The record is from RefSeq and is a predicted model, not a curated record. Lineage: Eukaryota; Metazoa; Chordata; Actinopteri; Salmoniformes; Salmonidae.